GAUGAACGCUGGCGGCGUGCCUAAUACAUGCAAGUCGAGCGAACAGACGAGGAGCUUGCUCCUCUGACGUUAGCGGCGGACGGGUGAGUAACACGUGGAUAACCUACCUAUAAGACUGGGAUAACUUCGGGAAACCGGAGCUAAUACCGGAUAACAUGUUGAACCGCAUGGUUCAAUAGUGAAAGACGGUUUUGCUGUCACUUAUAGAUGGAUCCGCGUCGCAUUAGCUAGUUGGUAAGGUAACGGCUUACCAAGGCAACGAUGCGUAGCCGACCUGAGAGGGUGAUCGGCCACACUGGAACUGAGACACGGUCCAGACUCCUACGGGAGGCAGCAGUAGGGAAUCUUCCGCAAUGGGCGAAAGCCUGACGGAGCAACGCCGCGUGAGUGAAGAAGGUCUUCGGAUCGUAAAACUCUGUUAUUAGGGAAGAACAAAUGUGUAAGUAACUAUGCACGUCUUGACGGUACCUAAUCAGAAAGCCACGGCUAACUACGUG
This 497-nucleotide ribosomal RNA is filed under the name uncultured bacterium. RNAcentral's name for it is "partial 16S ribosomal RNA". It matches the Rfam family "Bacterial small subunit ribosomal RNA", at positions 28 to 507 of the family's 1533-position model. The record is from RNAcentral.